This 9028-nucleotide long non-coding RNA is filed under the name Ananas comosus (pineapple). RNAcentral describes it as "long non-coding RNA (ACOM_LNC017245)". The record is from RNAcentral. Lineage: Eukaryota; Viridiplantae; Streptophyta; Magnoliopsida; Poales; Bromeliaceae.
GAACCAUUCCUGCGUCCUGUUCCUCAUGACCUCUCUUACGGAUCUCUUGUCAUCUUGGCUCAACUGCAGGUCUUCAUUUGUUACGAAGGUGAGAAAUGGCGCGCGAAAUAUUGUGAAUUCUUGAAGUCUCGGAGGAAGGGUGUGUAAUGCUUCAAGUCUAGUAAUAUGCCAAAGCUCGAGUGAUCUGCAAUAAGGGUAAAGCUGGUCCAUAGGUGGGAGCUCUUCAAGCAUUCCACACCUCCUCAGCGCAAGUUCUUGAAUGUUGGAUGUUUGAUUUUCGGGCCACGACGGUCCUCGAUACCCGUCUAGAUGAAGGCUGGUGAGAUUGGGAGGCAAUUGGAGACCCUCAAGAAUUUCAGCAUCCAAAUUAGAAUUUACAUUGUCCUCGCUGUCGCGCCAUACCAACUGGAGCGAAUCAAGAUGCUUCUUUUCUUUCAAAUCGGCGGCAAUGGCGCUCUCCUUCCUCUCAACAUUCUCAAGAUUAUCAAUGUGCAGGUGUCCUCGAAGUUCGUUCAAGUUCUUUAGUUGCUCCAGCUCAUAUCCUUUUUCCUUUCUCACCUGAAAAUUCUCUAGGCCUUGCAAGGAAGUUAACUUGCCGAUCUCGGCUAUGCCAGAAGGCCGUAGAUACCGCAAGCCGACCAAGUCGGUAAGGCGUGCAGGAAGCGAGCUAGCAUUUUCUACUUCCAACACCUGUAGCUGAUACAGAGUGCACACCAACUCCGGCAACACGAACUCGCUAGUGCCUCCUGAAACUUGCAGGAUGCGAAGGUGCUUCAUUUCGCUUAUAAACUUUGCCAAAUUUUCUAAAUUUAAUCCCAAAACCAGCAGCACGCGCAACUUUUUUAAGCUCUUGAAGAUGUCGCUCGCAACAUUUUCGUCUGAGACGACGCUUUCUCCUUUCACGACGAUUAGGGUGCGAAGUUUCUUCAGUUUGCAAAUUUCCUCCUUCUUCUCAUUCAGUUUGUCAGCCGGUAUGCACAGAUGGCGAAUAGUCGACGGGAUCUCGCUCUGACGAUUACCUUCUAUUCUAACACAAUCACUGCGAGUAACCUUUACCGCUAGAUCAUACAGCAAUUCAUGCAACGUGUAGUAGAAGACAGGCUUACCUGUUCCAGAGGAGCGGCGGAAUCUGUUAUGACGCUGAAUGUAGAAUCUGNCCUCAUUUUGUCUGCUGUAAAUUAAUUCCGUUUUUCGCUCAUGCGUCUCCAACCAUCUCCCCCACACAGCAGCAAUAUCCGCAUCGGCGGCAGGCACACUGUUGUUAUGCUCUCGGCUAUUCACCACGGCUAUGAAAUUCCUCAUUUCUCUUUCGUUGUGCACUAAGUCUUCUUUAUAUUGGUGUUGGAACCAUUCCUGCGUCCUGUUCCUCAUGACCUCUCUUAUGGAUCUCUUGUCAUCUUGGCUCAACUGCAGGUCUUCAUUUGUUACGAAGGUGAGAAAUGGUGUGCGAAAUAUUGCGAUGUUUCGAAGCCUCGGAGGAAGGGUGUGUACUGCUUUAAGCCUAGUAAUAUGCCGAAGCUCAAGUGAUCUGCAAUAAGGGUAAAGCUGGUCCAUAGGUGGGAGCUCUUCGAGCAUUCCACACCUCCUCAGCGCAAGUUCUUGAAUGUUGGAUGUUUGAUUUUCGGGCCAAGACGGCCACGACUGUCCUCGAUACCCAUCUAGAUGAAGGCUGGUAAGAUUGGGAGGCAAUUGGAGACCCUCAAGAAUUUCAGCUUCCAAAUUAGAAUUUACAUUGUCCUCACCGUUGCACCAUACCAACUGGAGCAUAUCAAGAUGCUUCUUUUCUUUCAAAUCGGCGGCAAUGGCGCUCUCCUUGCUCUCAACAUUCUCAAGAUUAUCAAUGCGCAGGCGUCCUCGAAGUUCGUUCAAGCUCUUUAGUUGCUCCAGCUCAUAUCCUUUUUCCUUUCUCACCUGAAAAUUCUCUAGGCCUUGCAAGGAAGUUAACUUGCCGAUCUCGGCUAUGCCAGAAGGCCGUAGAUACCGCAAGCCGACCAAGUCAGUAAGGCGUGCAGGAAGCGAGCUAGCAUUUUCUACUUCCAACACCUGCAGCUGAUACAGAGUGGACACCAACUCCGGCAACACGAACUCGCUAGUACCUCCUGAAACUUGUAGGAUGCGAAGGUGCUUCAUUUCACUUAUAAACUUCGCCAAAUUUUCUAAAUUUAAUCCCAAAACCAGCAGCACGCGCAACUUUUUUAAGCUCUUGAAGGUGUCGGUGGUCGCAACAUUUUCGUCUGAGACGACGCUUUCUCCUUCCGUGACGAUUAGGGUGCGAAGUUUCUUCAGUUUGCAAAUUUCCUCCUUCUUCUCAUUCAGUUUGUCAGCCGGUAUGCACAGAUGGCGAAUAGUCGACGGGAUCUCGCUCUGACGAUUACCUUCUAUUCUAACACAAUCACUGCGAGUAACCUUUUCUGCUAGAUCAUACAGCAAUUCAUGCAACGUGUAGUAGAAGACAGGCUUACCUGUCCCAGAGGAGCGGCGGAAUCUGUUAUGACGCUGAAUGUAGAAUCUGGACACCAAAUCAUUCAGGUAACCGUCGCCUGCAUCCUCCACCCUCUCAUUCGGAUCGCCCGGCUUGAUAAAACCUUGCGCCAUCCAGAGCUGAACCAGUUCUAAAGCUUUGAACUUGUAGCCUCUAGGAUACAGGCGACAGUACGAGAAGCAACGCUGAAGAUGUGCCGGCAAAUGCCGAAAACUCCACAUCAGCGCUUUGGUUUUGUCGCCGGACCAGUCCUUGUCUGCGAUCGUUUCCAAAUAUGCAUGCAAAUUACCUUGCGAACGAAAGAGAUCGGCCAGCUUCGUAGCGAUCGUCUUGCCAACCAUCUUGGCCGCCGUAGGGUCCUUGUUCAACUUCGCAGCGAUUGUCUUGCAUUUCUCUUUUAAAUCUUCUCUUAAGUGAGAAUCGAAUUCCCCGCUAGGCAAUGCGUAUUGAAUGAAAAGAUCCGCAAAGUCAUUCUCUGCUAAAUCUUCCAAAUGACAAAUGUAUUCUACAACAGCAGCACCAUUAGCAGCAACAAUCUUUCUCGGCGCAUCGUCCGUUUGAGACGUAACUAAAAUCUUGCUCCCCGGCAAACAACAACAUUUGCUUAAACAUCUGAAUAGCAUAUCCCAAUUAUUUUCAUGGUCUUCUCCGUCGCACCAAACAUCAUCUAUCACGAGCAGGAACUUCUUCGCGUUCAGCUUUUUGUUCAUUUUCAGCUGUAGUGCUUCAGGCGUGUUGAGGUUGCCCACGACCAUCGUGUCGAGGUUAGAAAGAUGGGUAUGGAACGUUGCGGCGAUAUCAUCAGGGUUACCAAGAUCUUCUUGAGGCUCGCUUGCGAUAGAAGCUUGUUGUAUGAUGUCUUUCAUAAUUUCGGAUGCGUUGAAGUUGCAAGAUGCGUGGACCCACAUGAUGGGAUGAAAAUGUUGUCUGUCACCUAACUCGCUCCCCAGCUGCUCGCAAACGUACUGUGCGAGAGUAGUCUUCCCGACCCCCGGGCGACCGACUAUGGCAAUUAUAGGUACGCCUGCUGCAGGUUCUAUCUUCAAACGCCGAAUGAUUUCGUCACGAUCUUCAUCGCGGCCGAACACUUUCGGCGGAGGCAGCGAGAUGGUCUGCUUGCUAUCAGGCGCUGCUGCCGUCUGAUCGGGCUGGGCGCCUAACAAGGUGCGGAGUUUCUCGGCUUCGCCGGCGAUCUUUUCAAGCUUGUUCAGCCUUCGCUUCAGCUUGAUCUUUUGAGGCGACAGCAUGUCCCGGCCGCCUUUUAUCACCCAUUUCACAGGUUUUGGUAUGUGAAAAAAGGAAGAAGAAGAACGCACCGGAUUAGUCGGCCUCUUACCACUGCUUGCUGCCGCCGCCGCCGCCUUGCGUCUGAGGCGGUUGUAGUUGAGGAGGUCCAGCGAGUCCUCCGCGCCGUCGUAAGCGUCUUUCAGCCUCUGCAGCCAGCCCUCCACGUCGCUCCGGUGCGGGCUGCCUUCCGCUUUCUCGAUCACCGAUUUCAGCACCGGGAGGACGGUGGCCCUCAGCUUCUGCAGCUUCUUCUCCGCGUUGAUGCCUAAGCUGGCGAAGCCUUCGGCGAGCAGCUUCGCCACGAGGGGAGACGCCACCCAUCCCAGCGCCGCUAAUCCGAUCGCUUCUACUCCCGACAUUCUCGCGCCAGCAAGCUCAGAACAGACAGCUAGCUAGGUAGCUGCCGGCUGAGAAUUAACGGCACCAAACAAGCGUGGUGGAAGGCCGCGCCACAACAUGCUGCGCCAACUACCCUGGAACAAUGUCAUGAAUAACAAUUUGUUCACUCAAGAGGAGACGGUUGACCAUUUAUUCGUUCGCUGUGUUUUCUCAAGAUUUCUAAUGAUGAUGAGCUUUGAGAUCGACCGGCUGGGGGAUAGUGGGGAUGACGUGACCACGGUCUGGGACCGCUGGAUGACGAGGACGAGAUCACAGCAGCCAUGUACUACAAUAUCCGGAUUAAUACCUGCUGGUGGAUUGUCUAGAAGGUUAGAAAUGAUGUGAUAUUAAAGUAGAUUCAACCGGACCACCUCCAAGCUGGCCACGAGACUAAACAGUUAAAUAAAGUGUUGGGAUCAAGUUCUGUCUUGACCGAUUGUAGUGGGUAAUAAUUGACGAACCUCUUUUCUUUUCUUUUCUUUUUUUUUUUCGUCCCUUCUGAGGCCGUCGUUGUCUCACUCAUGUAGCUAAAUGUAUCAUUUCAAUAAAUGAAGCGGAUAGCGCGCUACCUAUUUCUCAAAAAAAAAAAAAAAAUUAUUUUUUUUUUUUUUUUUUUUUUUUGAGCAAUGCUCUUUGUAUGUGUCAGAAAGGGUGGUGUAUAUAUAUAUUGUGCACAUCUCAAUCCAGAGGUUUUGUCUUGUCAAUUUAUUUUUUAAAAUAUUAAAAAUUUAAAAAAUUUUGUGAAUCUUAUUUGAAAUGAUGAAAUAUAAAUCAUACAUCUUUCUUAAAGUGUACAUCUUACUAUAUGUACUCCCAAAAUAGACGUGUAAAUUUCAAUUACAGCUAAACCAUGCACCUAUAUCCAAGGAUCGAAAUAAUUUUUAUGAAAUUUUAGUAUUAAAAAAAUAAAAUUGUUAUAAAACUAGUGCGAUUAAAUUGAUCCGACCCUUGGAUGCAUUGGUCUUAUUACAUGAGACAAACAUAUAUACCAGGCAUCUAUUAGCAUGGACAAGAAGAGGUGCAACUUGCCAUUGUUUAGAACCUACUCAUGCAACUUGUCAUGCAUUGUUUAUAAUCUACUCAACUACCGUAAAAUAAUAAUGAUAUAAUAUAUAAAUAAGGGCGAUUUGCAUGGUCCUCAAACUAUGAGGCAUGUGACGCUUCGGUCCUCGAACUGUGCAUAUUGUUGAUGUAAAAGUAAUAUAAUGUCGUAAUUAUUGGCGCAUCAUUAGUCGUAAUACUGCUAUAUUACUUCUAUAUUAACAAUACGCAAAUUUUUAGUCAACCAAAUUAAGUUAUAAAUAAAGAAGAUGCAUUUUGAGUACAGGUGGUACUGGACAAGCUAACGGAAGGAUUCAAUUGCAAUAAUUCUAAAAGCUCGAAUAAGAAAUUAUAAUAAAUUAGAGUAUGAUGACCAAAACGUCACUCGACUUAUAGUUUGAGAACCAAACAUGCUAUUUACCCUGAUAAUAAUAUAAUAUAUAAUAAUUGACACAAUUAGGCCCUGGCCCUUAUCUCUCUCUAUAUGUACAUAUAACCUUUUCUUAUAAUUAAGAUAAAAUGUAUUGGCACAAGUCCGACAAAUAAUAUCAAUACUAAUCUAUACUUUCUUAUUGACUAGAGUCAGUGAACAUUGACAGUAAAUACUACCUUCUCUAGAUAGCAACUCUCUCAGAACUUUGUUCUGAAACCUGCUGGGUUAAGGCUUCUACUAAAUAUUGUUAGUGACCCAAAAUGUGUUUGGUUAAUGGGAUCAAAUCCAACCAAAAAUUAAGUUCAAGUUAAUAGUUGGAUAAACUUCUUUUAUUAUGUAUAUAUAUGUUAUAUAUAUAUAGCUUUCUAAUUUGUGUCUAAUAUCAGAUCUGUCUUAAACAGAAUCCACAUGGAUGAAUGUACCCCGUGAAUGAUUAUAACUCCAUGCGUGUGGGUAAUAUCUUGGGCUCAAACUGCUUUAUUUUGAGACAAGUCUCGUAUAAUCUUCGUGCUGAGUUACCCUGAUUAUAACUUAAUUUCUGUUCGUAAAUUAUGAGGAAUGCAUCAUUCAUCGGCAACAUAUGAGGCCCGUUUAAUCUGAUCAUGUUCACACCGUAAAUUGUAACCAAAAGCACAAGAGGUACUACAACAACAAAUUUUUUUUUUUAAUUUUUUUUUUUGAGAGAUAGGUAGCACGCUACCCGCUUCGUUUAUUUUAUUUAGAAAUAAACUUAGCUGCAAAUGUAAAUCAACUAGGAUUCAAACUUGGGUCUUGGAUACCAACCACCAAGCCUUUGCCACUUACUCUAGGAACGGUUGGUUACAACAUCAAAAUUAAAACACUCAAAUUCACAUACAAACACAACAUAAAUUUCAGGUUUACAGGGUCUUUAGUGUAAAAUUUCAGGUUUACAGGGUCUUUAGUUUACACCGUACUAAACAUAAUACGUUAAGAGAGAAAAGUAUGAAAACAUAUUAUAUUUUAAGACCACAAUGCACACCAUGCACAAAAUUAACCGAACCAAGUCUUCGACAACACCGACCGUCCCUAGAGCAAGUAGCAAAAGGUUUCAUGGUUGGUAUCCGAGGUUCCAAGUUCGAAUUCUAGUUGAUUCAUAUUUCCAGCUAACUUUAUUUCUCGAUGAAAUAAAAGAAGCGAGUAGCAUGCUACCUAUCUCUCAAAAAAAAAUGUCUUCGACAACAAAAUUAAAACACUCGCAUACUAAUAUGUUAAUAAUUCUAGGUCUACAGAGUCUUCUGCGCUGUACAAAACAUAAUACAUUUUAAACAAAAAAAAAGUGAAAUAUAAUACAUUUUAUGACCACAAUGCAAACCAUGCACACUCUUUUUUUUUUGCUUUUUUUCUUUUUUUUGGCUUUUUUUUUUUUUUUUUUUUUUUUUUUUUUUUUNAGAUGCCUGCAAAAAGAUUGCGAAACCAAUACAGAAUGAGAACACUAAAAAAUAAGCACAAUGAAAAUAAAGUGAUACAUAACGUUCAAAUAGAUUAGAAGGAUGCAAUUUGAAUUGCAAGAUCAUGAAUCUUAUCCUUUAAAUUAUGGGAUUUAUAGAAAAUUACAGCAAAAAAACUGAUAUAAAAUACUUUUUUACCACACUUUUGAAUCUGCAGGAAUUAAAAGUAAGGGAAGUAAUACAUCUGAAUCAUGUUGAUUUAGCAAUUAAGAUUCGAAAAGGACAAUGAUUAGAGAAUAGGACUGUAGGAUUGUAUCAUAACACCGAUAAGAUAAACCCCAAUCCUAGAACCAAAUUAUACUCAAGCACUUUAAUAAUGAUUCUACAUUUGAUGGCAUGAAAGAAAAAAAUUUGAAAGAGUAAUUCACAUAGAAGUGCAUGAUGAGUACAGAAGUGAAUGCAUCCACAUACUGCAGGGAUAAAUAAUAUUAUUAUCUUCAAUAGAUACAUAGAUGAGUGAUUAUAAAGUAUUUCAAUCUAAAACUAGGUCAGUUACAUCGUUUUUAAUUCUAAUCUCAAAACACAUAGGCAAGGUGUAGAAAAGUUUGAAGUACUUCAAGAUCUUCGCUGAUUCAUCAAGAGACUGAUUAACUUAUGCACUUUUAAUGAGUAAAAAAGAAUAAGAAGAUCAGGAAUUCAAAGUUUGCCAAUUUGUAAGAACGGGAAGGCGAUACGUACCUUUUUUCCACAUUACAGAGCAUGUUCGAAGCUAUCUUCUACAGGGAUGCCGUUGAGCAUACGCCUGCCCGUAAGGGGGUCAAUUUCUAUGGAUUCCUCUAAAAUCGGACAUCCGUGUAUUACUAAACUCUUGAGUGACCUGGGCAAAUUCAUCACUGCCUCCAGAUUCGAGCAGUUCUGCAGAAUGAGAUUUUCUAGAGAGUGCAGUUCCUUCAAAUCCACCGAGAAUGAGACGCCAGAACAAUCCAGGAUACUCAAGGAGUGGAGAGAUCGGAGGUUGCGAAACUGUAACGAUGCCGCUCGCGUACGACAUUGAGUAAUCGUAAGACGAGAUAGAUGUGGCAAAUUCGCAUUGGCUAGGAUUGCAUCUACAUCUGCACAAGACUCAAAACGGAUAUACCGCAACGAGGACGGCAGCACAGCAGUUUCAAUGUCCAAGCAGGGGCAUCUGAUUAGAAGGAGAUUUACGAGACGGGGGAGGGAUCUUAUACCACCCAGCGAAGUGAGAGCCCAGCAGUUGGUCAGACCUAAAGUUUGGAGUGAUUUUAGGUUGGCAAGGACGUCCGCAGACGGUAGACGGGUUAUCAUUUUGAGAUCUGCUAACAACAGCCGCAUAAGGGAGGGGAGGUUUUGUUGUAGGCAUACCGAGAAUGCGUGGUUGGUAAUGUUGCAUCCCUUCAGCCGGAGCCUAGUAAUGGUGGAGGGCAGAAGCAAUUUGGCCUCAUUUGGUCUGCUGUAAAUCAACUCCGUUUUUCGCUCGUGCAUCUCCAACCAUCUCUCCUGGACAGCUGUAAUAUCUGCAUCCGUGGCAGGCACACUCUUAUUAUGCCCUCGAGAGCUAGCUUCAUCACUGUCGGAGCCAUUCGUUGGGGCUAUGAGAUUCCUCAUUUCUCUUUCACUGUCGUCUAAAGACUGUUGAAAAUAUUUGUGUGGGAACCAUUUCGGCAUCCUUUCCCUCAUGACCUUUAUUAUGGAUCUUUUGUCGGCUGGGCUCAUCUGUAGGUCUUCCUUUGUUACAAAGGUGAGAAAUGGCGCACGAAUUAUUGUGAAUUCUUGAAGUCUCGGAGGAAGGGUGUGUAACGCUUCAAGUCUAGAAAGAUCCCAGAGCUCAAGUGAUCUGCAAUAAGGGUAAAGCUGGUCCAUAGGUGGGAGCUCUUCGAGCAUUCCACACCUCCUCAGCGCAAGUUCUUGAAUGUUGGAUGUUUGAUUUUCGGGCCAAGACGGCCACGACUGUCCUCGAUACCCGUCUAGAUGAAGGCC